This 1079-nucleotide long non-coding RNA is filed under the name Lonchura striata (white-rumped munia). RNAcentral's name for it is "domestica (Bengalese finch) lncRNA (ENSLSDG00000001919.1)". The record is from RNAcentral. Lineage: Eukaryota; Metazoa; Chordata; Aves; Passeriformes; Estrildidae.
AAUUAUCCCCAAAAUAUCCCAAACCAGCCAAAAUCACCCCAAAAUAUCCCAAAUCAGCCAAAAUCAGCCCAAAAUAUCCCAAAUCAGCCAAAAUCACCCCAAAAUAUCCCAAAUCAGCCAAAAUCAGCCCCAAAUCGGCCCAAAAUAUCCCAAAUCAGCCAAAAUCAGCCCAAAAUCAGCCCAAAAUAUCCCAAAUCAGCCAAAAUCACCCCAAAAUAUCCCAAAUCAGCCAAAAUCAGCCCAAAAUCACCCCAAAAUAUCCCAAAUCAGCCAAAAUAUCCCCAAAAUAUCCCCAAAAUAUCCCCAAAAUAUCCCCAAAUCACCCCAAAUUCAGCACAAAAUUAUCCACAAAAUAUCCCCAAAUCAGCCAAAAUCACCCCAAAAUAUCCCCAAAUCAGCCCAAAAUCAGCCCAAAACCAGCCCAAAAUCAGCCCCAAAAUAUCCCCAAAUCAGCCAAAAUCAUCCCCCAAAUAUCCUCAAAAUAUCCCCAAAUCAGCCCAAAAUCAUCCCCAAAAUAUCCCCAAAUCAUCACAAAAUUAUCCCCAAAAUAUCCCCAAAUCAGCCCAAAAUCAGCCCAAAAUUAUCCCAAAAUCAGCCCCAAAAUCAGCCCAAAAUUAUCCCCAAAUCAGCACAAAAUCAGCCCAAAAUUAUACCCAAAUCAGCCCAAAAUCAGCCCAAAAUUAUACCCAAAUCAGCACAAAAUCAGCCCAAAAUUAUACCCAAAUCAGCCCAAAAUUAUCCCAAAAUCAUCCCCAAAUUUUCCCAAAAUCAGCCCCAAAUCAUCCCAAAAUUACUCCAAAAUCAUCCCAAAAUCAUCCCCAAAAUUAUCCCCAAAUCACCCCAAAAUUAUACCGAAAUUACCUCAAAUUAUCCCCAAAAUCCUCCGAAAUCCCCAAAUUUCCCCCAAAUCUCCCCGAAUUUUCCCCAAAUCCCCCAAAUUUCCCCCAAAUCCCCCAAAUUUUCCCAAAAUCCCCGGAAUUCUCCCCAAAGGCUGCUGGUGGGAGCCCCCCGGGAGGGGAACGGCUCCGGCGCCGUUUACGGCUGCGCCUUCGGCUCCGGAACCUGCCGGAAGCUCCCGG